AAUAUGUGUUUUGAAAUUUGAGCAUUUCUUUUCUUACUUAUCCCAUAACUUAUCCUUUAGAUGCUAUGGUGAAUAAGAGGACUUGUUUUUUCUUUCCUAGUCUAAUCCCCUCCCUACGAACUAUAGCAAACAAUUGUAAGACACAUUUACCCAAUUCUUUUCUUGCCUAGGACGGGAGUCGUCAUCAUUGAUGGUCUUUCUUGAAGAAUGGUUCCCCCAGGUGGUUCAUCAAUCCUCCUUCAAGCUAGGGGAUGGCUGGUUGGGAAGGUCU
RNAcentral lists this long non-coding RNA (271 nucleotides) under Durio zibethinus. RNAcentral's name for it is "long non-coding RNA (DZIB_LNC001293)". Lineage: Eukaryota; Viridiplantae; Streptophyta; Magnoliopsida; Malvales; Malvaceae. The record is from RNAcentral.